UAACUUCUGCUACCUAACAAGCAUGAAGAAAAUAAGAGCUAGAGAGAACUAAGUAUUUUCUGAUCAUCACAGAGUUUGUAAUACACUCCAUGAUGAUAUUACAAAUGAGGAUGCUUAAAUAAUGUAAAAAUAUGUCAAUCAAGAAGAAAGUUGAGUUACCAGCCUCAAACUUUCUAUUACUAAAGCAUGAAUUAAAAAAGAUUGAUUGCCCAUCAAAAGUAACUUGAAGUAUUUUUCUCUUGUCUUCUUCUUCAAACCUAUCCAACAACACUUGAUGAUUCAUACCUUCUUUAUGGAUUUAUUGGAUCUAGUUGAACCUAUUGAUACUGUCAAAUGGUUUUGCUUUGCCUAUCACAUCGGUAGGUGCCUUGGAACAAACUCCUCAGUCAUUUUACCGUCCCAACUAUGUUG
RNAcentral lists this long non-coding RNA (411 nucleotides) under Solanum tuberosum (potato). RNAcentral describes it as "long non-coding RNA (STUB_LNC011868)". Lineage: Eukaryota; Viridiplantae; Streptophyta; Magnoliopsida; Solanales; Solanaceae. The record is from RNAcentral.